This 510-nucleotide ribosomal RNA is filed under the name uncultured bacterium. Its description in RNAcentral is "partial 16S ribosomal RNA". It matches the Rfam family "Bacterial small subunit ribosomal RNA", at positions 28 to 523 of the family's 1533-position model. The record is from RNAcentral.
GACGAACGCUGGCGGCGUGCCUAAUACAUGCAAGUCGAGCGGACUUAAAAAGCUUGCUUUUUAAGUUAGCGGCGGACGGGUGAGUAACACGUGGGCAACCUGCCUGUAAGACUGGGAUAACUUCGGGAAACCGGAGCUAAUACCGGAUAAUCCUUUCCUACUCAUGUAGGAAAGCUGAAAGACGGUUUACGCUGUCACUUACAGAUGGGCCCGCGGCGCAUUAGCUAGUUGGUGAGGUAACGGCUCACCAAGGCGACGAUGCGUAGCCGACCUGAGAGGGUGAUCGGCCACACUGGGACUGAGACACGGCCAAGACGCCUACGGGAGGCAGCAGUAGGGAAUCUUACGCAAUGGACGAAAGUCUGACGGAGCAACGCCGCGUGAGUGAUGAAGGUUUUCGGAUCGUAAAACUCUGUUGUUAGGGUAGAACAAGUACGAGAGUAACUGCUCGUACCUUGACGGUACCUAACCAGAAAGCCACGGCUAACUACGUGCCAGCAGCCGCCGUAA